UGCAGAGGGAAGAUGAAACACCACUAUAGAAAGCAGAGGACAACCAACUUCGUCUCCGGAAAGAUCCAGAAACUCCAUCCUAGACAGCUAUCAACCAAAACCUCAGUCCUCAAACUCUGAGUAAAGAAUGAAGACCCUGAGUGUGUUACUGCUGUUCGCCCUGCUGGGUGUCCUGUUAGCAAACCCGUUCAUUGACCGCCUGCAGCAAAAUGCUAAACAACAGGAGGCUGAAGAGAGGACCGAGAACCAGCCACUUCAAAUUAUGUAUAGAAUGUUUUGUAGCUGGCCUUGUUUGCCUUAUUAUAAAAAAGUGACAAGAUACGGUCAUUGCUAUUGUGAAAAGAAAACAGAUCCUGUAAAGACAAUUGUGAAGGCACUUCAUCAUAAGGGAUGAGCUAAUGCAGACAUUGAAGAUGCAGACAUUGAGGAUCCUCUCCCGUCACCUGAUGGAAUGGAACUCACACUUCACCUUUCGUCAUCACCAACACAUACGUGACCAUAACGCUAUCCACAUGUAUUUACAACUAUAAAGGAAAUAAUAGUAGUGGUAGUGGUAGUAGUAGUAGUAAUAAUAGUGGUAGUGGUAGUAGUAGUAGUAGUAGUAGUAUUUUUG
Molecule: long non-coding RNA, 613 nt
Organism: Coregonus clupeaformis (lake whitefish)
Lineage: Eukaryota; Metazoa; Chordata; Actinopteri; Salmoniformes; Salmonidae
Exons: 4
Source: RefSeq, a predicted model, not a curated record